This 425-nucleotide ribosomal RNA is filed under the name uncultured soil bacterium. Its description in RNAcentral is "bacterial SSU rRNA". It matches the Rfam family "Bacterial small subunit ribosomal RNA", at positions 26 to 430 of the family's 1533-position model. The record is from RNAcentral.
AGAAUCAACGCUGGCGGCGUGCCUAACACAUGCAAGUCGAACGCGAAAGUGGAGCAAUCCAUUAGUAGAGUGGCAAACGGGUGAGUAACACGUGGGCGACCUACCUCAGAGGUGGGGGAUAACCUUCCGAAAGGAGGGCUAAUACCGCAUGACAUCCCGUGUUUGGAUACGACGGAGAUCAAAGCCGGGGAUCGCAAGACCUGGCGCUUGGAGAGGGGCCCGCGUCCGAUUAGCUAGGUUGGUGAGGUAACGGCUCACCAAGGCUCCGAUCGGUAUCCGGCCUGAGAGGGCGGACGGCACGACUGGAACUGAGACACGGUCCAGACUCCGUACGGGAGCAGCAGGUGGGAAUUGGUCGCAAGUGGGACGAAAGCCGUAGACCGACGCAACGCCGCGUGGAGGAUGAAGAGUUUCGGUACGUAAAC